Long non-coding RNA from Oncorhynchus masou masou (cherry salmon), 1026 nucleotides. RefSeq lists it as uncharacterized. The record is from RefSeq and is a predicted model, not a curated record. Lineage: Eukaryota; Metazoa; Chordata; Actinopteri; Salmoniformes; Salmonidae. The transcript is spliced from 3 exons.
GAUAGGAGGAUAGAGUAUAAUGCAUCAUAUCACCUCUAUAUUAAUUAAUAACAAUUGGAGCAUUGACAUAUUGUAGGGAUGGGGAAAUCGAUACAGUAGAGCAGUGGUCACCAACCAGUCGAUCUUCUACGCAUUCCUAGUUGAUCACCAAACAUAACAUAUCUGUAGAAAAGCCAACGAUAAAGGCUUGCGCUCCUUUAUUUAUUUGACUUUGCGCUUUUGGCGGAAGGUGCACUUGAUUCAGAAGCCCUGCAUGCCAGGUAGGCAAACUGUUCUGAACCAUUUCAAACUCCACCUACCCAGCGGACCAGAAGGGCUGACGUUAAAUCAAGUAUAUCAGAAUACCGAAAAGCAUUGCUGUUUUUAUGAGUGUUCCAGGCCAUGGGACAUGAAGACAGAGCCCAUGUGGACCUUCAGCAUGAACUGCACACUCCUACGCAGGAUCCCAAUCUUCACCAGCUCCUGACAAACCCGGUCAGCCAGAAGAGGACCUAAGUCCUAGGACCAUGCCUCAGGACUACCUGGCAUGAUGACUCCUUUCUGUCCCCAGAACACAUGGCUGUGCUGCUUCUCCAGUUUCAACUGUUCUGCCUGCGGCUAUGGAAUCCUGACCUGUUCACCGGACGUGCUACCUGUCCCAGACCUAUUAUUUGACCAUGCUGGUCAUUUAUGAACAUUUGAACAUCUUGGUCAUGUGCUGUUAUAAUCUCCACCCGGCACAGCCAGAAGAUAACUGGCCACCCCUCAUAGCCUGGUUCCUCUCUAGGUUUCUUUCUAGGUUUUGGCCUUUUCUUGGGAGUUUUUCCUAUCCAACGUGCUUCAACACCUGCAUUGCUUGCUGUUUGGGGUUUUAGGCUGGGUUUCUGUACAGCACUUUGAGAUAUCAGCUGAUGUACGAAGGGCUAUAUAAAUAAAUUUGAUUUGAUUUAAUGACCUGGUUUAAUGAGAGCCAUGAUGGUCCAUGAUGACUUCAGCAAAGCCUCAUAGAGUGCUUUCUCCACCCAUGUCAAACAGACAAUAAAUUGU